UGGCUUAGUGGUAAAGUGCUUGCCUAGCAUGCAUGAAGCCCUGGGUUCGACUCCUUG
Non-coding RNA from Dipodomys ordii (Ord's kangaroo rat), 57 nucleotides. Lineage: Eukaryota; Metazoa; Chordata; Mammalia; Rodentia; Heteromyidae. The record is from Rfam.